AGAGUUAGCAAAGAGUGGUAAAAGUGAUGCGAACAAAACUCUGAAUGUAUGAUCCAUUACAUGAUUCUCAAGCCCCUAAGUGAGAUAAAUUAAGUCCAGAUUAAGUUCAAGUAUAUAAGAUUAAGCUCAAUUCAUCCAAAUUUCAAAGAGAUAGGGACUACUAUAAAGCGAUCAAGUGAUGGAUUUUCCUGAACUUCCAAGUCAUCAGCGAGUAAAGCUAAAAUGGUCCCAAAGGCAAUUAAAUCAAACAUGGUGCAAUUCCCUAAGAAAAGAUCAUAGUUCUCAGACAACAUUUUGACUCAAUAAAAGACAUGAUUUUGACUCGAUAAAACAAACUCGAUGACUCAAAAGAAAAACAUCAAAAAUGCAAACUAGAUUAGUAGACAAGUGGCAGCCUCCCCCCGACUUGCUUCACACCGACUCGGCGUGAAAACAGUUCAAAGAAAAGGUGCCACACGGACGCAAGAAAAUAAAAAUAAAGAGAAAAGAAAAAUGGUAUAUAACAAGGGAAGAGGGUGAGUUACUGUAGUACUCAACGGUGGUGGGUGGGGCUCUCGCUAGAGCUCUGCUCCCCUGGCUGUCUCCUGCUCCUGCCUAAGCGUGUGUCUGGAGAAUGCUCUUGUGAACGCUGCGAAGUCGAAGCUCUACUCUGUCCAGCAGCAGGGAUCAACCUCUCAGCAUGUCGAUCCCCGGCAACGGCGCCAACUUGAUUGCUCGAGUAAUUAACUCAAUACACUUAACCGAUAGGCAGUAUAUUCGAGGUCGAUCCACAAGGACCAAAGAUACUCUAAGGAUUUUCGAGACUUGUUCUUAGCUAAAACUAAAAAGUUGUUUUGUUUGAGUUUUCCGAAUUGUAAAAUAAAAAUGCAAUUAUUAAACGAUUUAAGUUUCAAGAUUUAAAGACAUUAGGCAUUAGGGUAUUUCAGAGAUCAAUAAACAAUGGAAACAUGGGACAAAGAAUUCAACAAUUACGAACCGUUCUUGAACAUGAACACAACUUAGACUAAUUCUCUUUCAAGACAUUAAUCACUAAAUUUGACUACUCGAUUACUAAACUUUCGCAUGUAAUUUCCUAGUCAAAUUCGCAUUAUCAAACAAGUUCAUUUAGUUCACAAUGCGUCCUAACUUCAACUUUCGUUGGCUAGAAAUACAUUGCUCAAUUCACAUUCUUUCAGGCAUUCUAUCGAACACUUUUGAUGCAUAGAAAAACCUAGGUUCUACAACAGGGUGAUCAAUCCUAUUCUAGCAUUAAGAACAUGUGAAUCAAAGAACCUAGAGAAUGAGAAUUCCAAACAACAAUUAAUCCAUUAAUCUAUCGAAUCUCCUAAUUAGAACCCUAACACCUAAUUAAAAGACUACUCACACAUAGCAACAGAAACAAGACAAAUAGAUGAAGAAGUCAUAAUUGAAUUGCAAUGAAAAUAAGAAAUAGGGUUUAGAAAUCUUCUCCAAAUUGUCAAAGAGGAUGAAUCUCUAGAAUCCCAAGGUUGCUUACAAGAGAAAAGUCUUAGAAAAAUUGCAGAAAGAAAACGUCCCAAAGAAAAUUAGGUCUCUGGGGUUUUUAUACCCAAGUACAAAAAAAGGAAGACAAAACCCGGUUUAGGAAAACCGUCUCGGGACGUCGAGGCUCGGAUCGAUCGAUCCCAUGGGUGGAUCGAUCGAUCCAGAUAUGCUGAAUCAAUUGGUCUUGGACGGAUGAGGGUUGGAUCGAUCGAUCCCCUCCUGGGAUCUAUCGAUCUCGAGCUACUGGAACUUUUGGCUUCAUCGUCACAAUUGGGAUCGAUCGAUCCACGCCUUGGAUCGAUCGAUCCCCAGCUCCUGGUGAUCUCUUGUACCGUUUCUCCAUUGUUUUAGCUCCGAAUAGGCUCAAUCAUGCACAAGAUGCUCCGAAUCCAGCUCGAGCACCUAUAACCUGCAAAGGACUCAAGACACAACCGAAAAGACGCAAAAGACGGAUUUUGACACGAUAGAUGACUCAAAACAUGGACUAAACCAAGACUCGAAACCGUUAAAAACGCAACACAUCAAACUCCCCCCGACUUAAAUCUUUGCUUGUCCUCAAGGAAAGCAGAAAUCCUUAUCAAGAGAAGAGGUUUGAAAACACGAGAACUCACAUUUUCUUCGGGAUCAUGUUCUAUCAAUUGCCUGCAAACCACUAUCACACAACUCAUCAAACCGUACUAGACUGUACUUCGCCAUAACCGUAGCAACAAAAUUAAGUCCCGAAAUCUAAAAGAAUUUUCAGAAUCAGAUAACUUAACCUUUUAACAUUCAUUAGCAGUGGCGUGUAUUCUCACAAAGGGGGUAUCGAACACGUUAUGGGCUUGGUCAAAAAGGGCUAAUAUUUAGUGGCUCAAGGUGUUUCGGGUACUCAACAGUAUAAACGGAUGCACGUCAUUAUGCGAAAUCACAGUGAGACACAGACCAACUAGGAGGUACAUAGCUUCCCUUAAGCUCGGAUCAAAUCAACAAACAUAUUAUCCCAAUCAAACCAAUGACUACCCAUGAUGCUUAACAAUAUAACCAAUGGUAACUCGACAUUUCCGGUUCCAAUCACUCUCCUUUCCCGCUUCUUCUUUUCAUUUUCGUUUUUUUUUUUUUUUUUUUGAAGCGGGGGAGUGGAACCGGUGUCUCACAAAAAUCUGCAUCAAGAACAAUCGCAAACAGCAGCAUACACCCAUGAAUAUAACCUCUAAACCACAAUGGCUCAAUCUCAUCACAUAUCGACAACCAGUAAACUACAACUCACUAUCCUAACAAAAGGAAAGCUAUGUCGGUCUGUAUACUCCGUAGUUUUCGCACAUGGAUGCAUAUCAUGACGAUCAUAUAAGAAUGCAUGAGGUUUCAAACAAUGGGUGGGGAAACAGGUGCGGUACUAGACUAAAAAUGAGUCUAGCCAUUCAGAGUUAGCAAAGAGUGGUAAAAGUGAUGCGAACAAAACUCUGAAUGUAUGAUCCAUUACAUGAUUCUCAAGCCCCUAAGUGAGAUAAAUUAAGUCCAGAUUAAGUUCAAGUAUAUAAGAUUAAGCUCAAUUCAUCCAAAUUUCAAAGAGAUAGGAACUACUAUAAAGCGAUCAAGUGAUGGAUUUUCCUGAACUUCCAAGUCAUCAGCGAGUAAAGCUAAAAUGGUCCCAAAGGCAAUUAAAUCAAACAUGGUGCAAUUCCCUAAGAAAAGAUCAUAGUUCUCAGACAACAUUUUGACUCAAUAAAAGACACGAUUUUGAUUCGAUAAAACAGACUCGAUGACUCAAAAGAAAAACAUCAAAAAUGCAAACUAGAUUAGUAGACAAGUGGCAGCCUCCCCCCGACUUGCUUCACACCGACUCGGCGUGAAAACAGUUCAAAGAAAAGGUGCCACACGGACGCAAGAAAAUAAAAAUAAAGAGAAAAGAAAAAUGGUAUAUAACAAGGGAAGAGGGUGAGUUACUGUAGUACUCAACGGUGGUGGGUGGGGCUCUCGCUAGAGCUCUGCUCCCCUGGCUGUCUCCUGCUCCUGCCUAAGCGUGUGUCUGGAGAAUGCUCUUGUGAACGCUGCGAAGUCGAAGCUCUACUCUGUCCAGCAGCAGGGAUCAACCUCUCAGCAUGUCGAUCC
Molecule: long non-coding RNA, 3591 nt
Filed under: Arabidopsis lyrata
Lineage: Eukaryota; Viridiplantae; Streptophyta; Magnoliopsida; Brassicales; Brassicaceae
Description: long non-coding RNA (ALYR_LNC003321)
Source: RNAcentral